RNAcentral lists this ribosomal RNA (429 nucleotides) under Chloroflexota bacterium. RNAcentral describes it as "Chloroflexi bacterium partial 16S ribosomal RNA". It matches the Rfam family "Bacterial small subunit ribosomal RNA", at positions 355 to 776 of the family's 1533-position model. Lineage: Bacteria; Bacillati; Chloroflexota. The record is from RNAcentral.
UGGGGAAUAUUGCACAAUGGGCGCAAGCCUGAUGCAGCCAUGCCGCGUGUAUGAAGAAGGCCUUCGGGUUGUAAAGUACUUUCAGCGGGGAGGAAGGGAGUAAAGUUAAUACCUUUGCUCAUUGACGUUACCCGCAGAAGAAGCACCGGCUAACUCCGUGCCAGCAGCCGCGGUAAUACGGAGGGUGCAAGCGUUAAUCGGAAUUACUGGGCGUAAAGCGCACGCAGGCGGUUUGUUAAGUCAGAUGUGAAAUCCCCGGGCUCAACCGGGGAGGGUCAUUGGAAACUGGGGGACUUGAGUGCAGAAGAGGAGAGUGGAAUUCCAGGUGUAGCGGUGAAAUGCGUAGAGAUCUGGAGGAAUACCGGUGGCGAAGGCGGCCCCCUGGACGAAGACUGACGCUCAGGUGCGAAAGCGUGGGGAGCAAACAGG